This is a long non-coding RNA of Mus musculus (house mouse), 2399 nucleotides long. RefSeq annotates it as predicted gene, 52051. The transcript has 2 exons. NCBI's taxonomy places the organism in Eukaryota, Metazoa, Chordata, Mammalia, Rodentia, Muridae. The record is from RefSeq and is a predicted model, not a curated record.
UUCUUUCCUGGUUUGUUUGUUUUUGGAGACAGAGUUUCUCAGUGGAGCCCUGGCUGUCCUGGAACUCAGAGAUCUGCCUGCCUCUGCCUCCAAAGGCAGUCCGCAUGCUGUCACCUUCCUCUCUUUCAUUUAUUCUGGUUACAUUUACUUCAUGUGGAACUUGACUUGGCUUCCUUAGAACCUGAUUUCUUUUCAAAAAAAAAAGCUUGCCAAUAUGGCUAACAAACACAAGAAAUUCCUCUAAAUAUAGCACAUGUUCACAUUUCAACACAAUUUAAGAAAACUGAAUGCACACAAUCACUUUAACAUAAGUAAAAAAAAAUAGUCAUAAAACAAUGACUAUAACAAUUAUUGAUACUGGAAAUAGUCACAGCUAGGAUCUUUUUUUUUUUUAAGAUAAAAUUCUAUCCUGUUGCUAUUAUAUAAUGGCAAAAAGGCACAGCUAGGAUCUUUUUUUUUUUUUAAGAUAAAAUUCUAUCCUGUUGCUAUUAUAUAAUGGCAAAAAGGCUUUUAGGAAUGGAGGGAGAAAUACAAAAAUAUUUUCUAUAGGUCUUUCAGUGGGAGGAAUUCAGUAAUUUCUGGCCAGGGCAGGAUGGAAAAGCACAUGGCUAAUGGAAGGCCGAGGCCCUCUUCAGAAAGGGAAGACGAACCACUCACAGUGCAGUAGGUGUACACGGACUCAAGUAAAAGCUGAAUUGCCAAACCACUAUUCACCCACACACGGCAAGUGUCAAGGAGUUUAAAAUAAAUCGGCCACCUCUAAAGUAGUAUUUUUCCUUUGCACUUGCAAAUUUCCACAUAGACCAGCCAUUCUCUAGAACCAGGACGGAGGGUUACAGGACAGUAACAAGGAUCACUUCUCACCAACUACAAACCAUCCACUUACUUCAUUAGCACACUUUCUUACCACACUUAAGUGAAAGUUUCGAUAGGGAAACUCAAAACCCAGCAGGUACUUUUGGUAUCCUAAAGAUGAACACGUCUGAGCGUGCACAUUGCAGACAGACAGGUCAGUUCCAAAUACUGAUUUCACCGAAUAUUUUGCAUUUAAGGAGCGUCUUCUCUUUAGGGGGGAAAAGCAUUGCUUACGUACUCAUUGAAGCCAUCACUGUUUUUCGAACAGGACAUACUAAGCUUCUUAAUACAAUCUCCCCAACUAGUGGACAGCCUCUGACUUCGUUUCUACAGUUAACAGCUGAUUCGCGACUGGCGUAACAAAGUGAAACUGUAAACAAUCCCUGCAAACCCCACGUGAUUAAAAAAAAUUAAGCCCCGCGAGAUCAUUUCUAAGAGGAAGAAAGCCUUUCUAAAGCCAGUUUGAUUGUGGUGGCGGGUCUGUUCCUCGGCGGCCCUUCCCCGUGGCGUGGGCAGACAGAGGCAGACGUGCAAAACCCACAAACCUAAGCAAAACCCGUAGUUACAAACAUUAAAAUUAUGUUCACAGGUCGCGAGGCCAGCAGGCCCUCGGGGGAGACGGAUCAGCUGGCUGCAGAAACCGGAGUGUGCGAGGCUCCGGGACAAAGACCGGCGACCUCGGGCCCUCGCACCGUGCGGCCUGACGGGCAUCGCAGCGGCUCGGCCCGCCAGCCUCCCGCCACCCCCAGGACCGACCUCCCGCUCCUGGGGCGCCGCCUGCCCUGUCCGGGACCCGCAGGGCGCCCGGGACCGCAGCUGUUGGGCUUAGAACCGCGCCGUCGCCGGCGGGCUCCAAACGGCCAGGCCCCGUCCGAGAGGGCGGACAGCGGAGCGCGGUCCCCUCGGCGCGGCGGCCGGUCGGAGCUCGCUCGGGCCGCUUCCCACCCGCCUCCGCCCUGGCCACGCACCCUCACGCCAACCUACCCGGUCCCACACCAUCCCAGAGGCCUCCGGCGCUCGGGCCUUUCUGCCGAAGCGGCGCUGCCUCCCGUCCGGGGCCUGAAAUGGCUGCGGAACAAAGAGAAUCCGGGCUCCGGCGAGCGCCGGUCCGAUUGGCCGGGGGGCGGAGCCCGGCGCGGGAAUCUUCGGCGGCGGUCGCCUUGGCAACGGCGACGGGGCUGGGAAAACUGCGGCCUGGGCCUGCUGGCCUGCGUCGGGAAGGCGGGCGGGCGGGCGGCGCGCCCCAGCGGUUUUCACCAAGCGGGGUCCCGGGGUCGACGCCUCGGCCCCGUGCCCGCCUCACACCCCCUCGCGCCCACUGCAGCCCCCACAAGCCAGCCUGGGGCUCAGUCGCGGCCUCCGCUGCCCAGCCCGUUGAGUGUGAACGCCCAGAUGCACGGCCCUUCCGGCGGCAGUGUACAGGAUACCAGCUACUGCGUGAUGUUUCCUCUUUACGUUUCAUGUGGUGAAACUCUGCAGACAUGUUGGCAUUUUUCAAUGACAUAUACUGAAAUUUAAGAUGGUAAUAAACUUUGCUUUUAACC